UGACCUGCUAAAUAGCCCGGCCCGCUUUGGCGGGUCGCCGGCUUCUUAGAGGGACUAUCGGCUCAAGCCGAUGGAAGUUCGAGGCAAUAACAGGUCUGUUAUGCCCUUAGAUGUUCUGGGCCGCACGCGCGCUACACUGACAGAGCCAACGAGUUUACUACCUUGGCCGGAAGGUCUGGGUAAUCUUGUUAAACUCUGUCGUGCUGGGGAUAGAGCAUUGCAAUUAUUGCUCUUCAACGAGGAAUGCCUAGUAAGCGCAUGUCAUCAGCAUGCGUUGAUUACGUCCCUGCCCUUUGUACACACCGCCCGUCGCU
This 314-nucleotide ribosomal RNA is filed under the name uncultured fungus. RNAcentral's name for it is "SSU rRNA". It matches the Rfam family "Eukaryotic small subunit ribosomal RNA", at positions 1344 to 1680 of the family's 1831-position model. Lineage: Eukaryota; Fungi. The record is from RNAcentral.